AGUGAACGCUGGUGGUAGGCCUAACACAUGCAAGUCGAACGGUAACAGGUCUUCGGAUGCUGACGAGUGGCGAACGGGUGAGUAAUACAUCGGAACGUGCCUAGUAGUGGGGGAUAACUACUCGAAAGAGUGGCUGAUACCGCAUGAGAUCUACGGAUGAAGGCAGGGGAUCGCAAGACCUUGUGCUACUACAGCGGCCGAUGGCAGAUUAGGUAGUUGGUGGGAUAAAAGCUCACCAAGCCGAGGAUCUGUAGCUGGUCUGCGAGGACGAUCAACAACACUGGGACGGGGACACAGCCGAGAGUGCUACGGGAGGCAGCAGUGGGGAAUAUUGGACAGUGGGCGCUAGCCUGAUCCAGCGAUGCCGGGUGCAGGAUGAAGGCCUUCGGGUUGUAAACGGCUUUUGUACGAAACGAAAAGCCCCGGGUUAAUACCCUGGGGUCAUGACGGUACCGUAAGAAUAAGCACCGGCUAACUGCGUGCCAGCCGCCGCCGUAA
RNAcentral lists this ribosomal RNA (498 nucleotides) under uncultured bacterium. Its description in RNAcentral is "partial 16S ribosomal RNA". It matches the Rfam family "Bacterial small subunit ribosomal RNA", at positions 29 to 523 of the family's 1533-position model. The record is from RNAcentral.